GACGAACGCUGGCGGCGUGCCUAAUACAUGCAAGUAGAACGCUGAAGGAGGAGCUUGCUUCUCUGGAUGAGUUGCGAACGGGUGAGUAACGCGUAGGUAACCUGCCUGGUAGCGGGGGAUAACUAUUGGAAACGAUAGCUAAUACCGCAUAAUAGUAGAUGUUGCAUGACAUUUGCUUAAAAGGUGCAAUUGCAUCACUACCAGAUGGACCUGCGUUGUAUUAGCUAGUUGGUGGGGUAACGGCUCACCAAGGCGACGAUACAUAGCCGACCUGAGAGGGUGAUCGGCCACACUGGGACUGGGACACGGCCCAGACUCCUACGGGAGGCAGCAGUAGGGGAUCUUCGGCAAUGGACGGAAGUCUGAACGAGCAACGCCGCGUGAGUGAAGAAGGUUUUCGGAUCGUAAAGCUCUGUUGGAAGAGAAGAACGAGUGUGAGAGUGGAAAGUUCACACUGUGACGGUAUCUUACCAGAAAGGGACGGCUAACUACGUG
RNAcentral lists this ribosomal RNA (495 nucleotides) under uncultured bacterium. RNAcentral's name for it is "partial 16S ribosomal RNA". It matches the Rfam family "Bacterial small subunit ribosomal RNA", at positions 28 to 507 of the family's 1533-position model. The record is from RNAcentral.